CCUACGGGGGGCAGCAGUGAGGAAUAUUGGUCAAUGGGCGAGAGCCUGAACCAGCCAAGUCGCGUGAAGGAUGACGGCCCUACGGGUUGUAAACUUCUUUUGUCAGGGAGCAAUUUGGUCCACGCGUGGGCUUAGCGAGAGUACCUGCAGAAAAUGCAUCGGCUAACUCCGUGCUAGCAGCCGCGGUAAUACGGGGGAUGCUAGCGUUAUCCGGAUUUAUUGGGUUUAAAGGGUGCGUAGGCGGAAUAUCAAGUCAGCGGUAAAAAUUCGGGGCUCAACCCCGUCGUGCAGUUGAAACUGAUGUUCUUGAGUGGGCGAGAGGGAUGCGGAAUGCGUGGUGUAGCGGUGAAAUGCGUAGAUAUCGCGCAGAACUCCGAUUGCGAAGGCAGGAUACCGGCGCCCAACUGACGCUGAAGCACGAAGGCGUGGGUAUCGAACAGGAUUAGAUACCCCUGUAGUC
This 460-nucleotide ribosomal RNA is filed under the name uncultured bacterium. Its description in RNAcentral is "partial 16S ribosomal RNA". It matches the Rfam family "Bacterial small subunit ribosomal RNA", at positions 338 to 795 of the family's 1533-position model. The record is from RNAcentral.